This 528-nucleotide ribosomal RNA is filed under the name Orthohalarachne attenuata. RNAcentral's name for it is "partial large subunit ribosomal RNA". The stretch from base 166 to 505 matches the Rfam family "Bacterial large subunit ribosomal RNA", at positions 2080 to 2641 of the family's 2925-position model. The record is from RNAcentral. Lineage: Eukaryota; Metazoa; Arthropoda; Arachnida; Mesostigmata; Halarachnidae.
UCUGCUCAAUGAUUUUUUAAAUUGCUGUGGGAUCAUUUACCGUACGAAGGUAGCGAAACAAGGCUUUGAAUGAGUUCUAAGUGAAUGAAUGAAUGGGAGAGUACUUUCUUUAGUAAAAGAUUAGAAUUUUUCUUAAGAAUGAGGAGAUUCUUAUAAAAUAGUGGGACGAGAAGACCCUAUGAACCUUUAUAUGUGUUGUAGACUAGAAUCUAUAAUAUUUAUUUGGUUGGGGCGACAGAAAAAUAGUAAGUAACUUUAUUACGAAAGUUUUAAUAAAAAUUGAUGGAUAAGGUACUCUAGGGAUAACAGCGUGAUUAUUUUGGAUAGGCCAUAUUGAUAAAAUAGUUUGCGACCUCGAUGUUGAAUUAGUGCACCUCUUUAGCCGCAGUUGGUUAGGAAGGCAGAUUGUUCAUCUGUUAAAUCACUACUUGAUCUGAGUUCAGACCGGAAACCGGAACUUAACUGACUGAGCCACCUGGGNAUCCCUAAUCAGGGUGUUUUUUAUUGCAAGUGAAAGGAACCCAAUCA